Molecule: ribosomal RNA, 253 nt
Filed under: uncultured bacterium
Lineage: Bacteria
Description: partial 16S ribosomal RNA
Rfam family: Bacterial small subunit ribosomal RNA
Source: RNAcentral
UACGAAGGGGGCUAGCGUUGCUCGGAAUCACUGGGCGUAAAGCGCACGUAGGCGGAUUGUUAAGUCGGGGGUGAAAUCCUGGAGCUCAACUCCAGAACUGCCUUCGAUACUGGCGAUCUCGAGUCCGGGAGAGGUGAGUGGAACUCCGAGUGUAGAGGUGAAAUUCGUAGAUAUUCGGAAGAACACCAGUGGCGAAGGCGGCUCACUGGCCCGGUACUGACGCUGAGGUGCGAAAGCGUGGGGAGCAAACGGG